RNAcentral lists this ribosomal RNA (2954 nucleotides) under Theileria equi strain WA. RNAcentral describes it as "Bacterial large subunit ribosomal RNA". It matches the Rfam family "Bacterial large subunit ribosomal RNA". Lineage: Eukaryota; Apicomplexa; Aconoidasida; Piroplasmida; Theileriidae. The record is from Rfam by way of RNAcentral.
UAAAUUUUAGUGUAAAGUUUAGAAUGGAUUCCUAAAAUUCUACAAACGAAGAAGGCCGAUAAUUUGUCGAAAGUUGAUUGUUUUUUUUUGUUUUUACUGGAAAACAUGAUAGUUGCCGAAUUAUACUUAAAUAUUUUAGGUAUUUUUAUAUAAGUGUACUUGAAGAACUGAAUCAUCUUAGUAUUCAAAGGAACAGUGUAUAACAAUUAAGUAUCUUAGUAGCGGCGAGCGAACAGGUUUGUUAUUAAAAAAUGUUUUUAUAAAGUAGAAAUAUAAGUUUAAUUUGUUGUAUUGUUUACAGUACAAUAAAUAGGUUUUGUAUUUUUUUUUAUACAUUAGUUGGUGCAUAUAUGUAAUGUACGGUGAGUAAAUAUUUUGCCGGGUUUAAAACUGUUUAGUACCAUCUGAAAAAUGUUUUUAAUAUUGUAGGAUUUUAUAGAGAACUAGUAUCGUGAGAGAAAGGUGAAACAGAUUUUUGAGUAAAAAUAGUGAAAAGAACAUGAAAUUGUAAACUUUAUUAAGUUUAUUUGUUUUAAAUUAAAAUGAAUUUUAAGGUAUUAGUUUAAGUAAAUGCUUGUUGAAGAAUGAGUCGGUGAGUUAUGAUUAAUGGAAAAAUAUGUAUUAAAAAUUUGAAUUUGUAAUAAGAGUUAACACGAGUUUUAGGUUCUAUUAAAGAAGCGUGUUUUAGUUUUUUGUUGAUCAUAGAUCCGAACCCAAAUGAUCUAAUUAUGUAUAGGAGGAGCGUUAGUGCUUCGUCUGAACUAGUUAAUGUUGCAAAAUUAUUAGAUAAUAUGUAAUUAGAGGUGAAAUGCUAAUCGAAUUUGGAGCUAGCUGAUUCUCUCUGAAAUGUAUUUAGGUACAGAUAGAUAUUUAAAUCAAAAGGUAAGGCUCUAUUUAGUGCCCGUAAAGAUUUACAUGUUUUUAUAGGUAUUUAGUAAACCAUAAAUUGUUGAUUUAUAUAAAAACGGGUUUUUUUUAUAUAAUUUUAUGAAUAUUAAAUUGAGACUAUUAGGGUCAAGCUUAAUAGGUCUAAAGGGAAACAGCCCAGAUUAUUUAAUAAGGUCCUAAAAUAUAUGUUUAGUUUAAGAUUGUUUAGUUAUUAUUACAGCUAAAAUAUAGGCUUAGAAGCAGCAAUUAUUUAAAGAGUGCGUAACAGCUCAUUAGUAUAGUGAUUAAAUAUCGAAAAUAAUCAGGUAUAAAUAUAUAACCGAAAUAGUAAAAAAAAAUAUACAUUAUUGUAUUUUUUUUUGGUAAGAGAGCGUUUUAUUUAAAAGUUUUGAUGUGGGUUUAUACGUUAGUAUAAAUUUACUCUAUUAGAUAAAAGUGAUAAUGCCGAUUUAAGUAAUAUAUAUUAGAUGUAUAAUCUAAUACUCCUAUUGUUUAUAGAGUUCCUAUUAAUUGAGUGGGUCAAAUAGGGUUAGUCGAAGCCUAAAAAUAAGCUUUUAUGUGUAUUUGAUGGGUAUAAGAUUAAUAUUUCUUAACCACACUUUUAAAGGUUUAAAAGAAUCUUAAGAUUUAAUUUUUGGUGUACGCCCAGAUAUGUUAGUUUGUGUUAUGUUUUUAGCUUGUCUACAGGCACAGAUUUUGUUUAUUUUGGUUUUUGAACAGGCCUAAAUAGGUAUAUAAAAUGAGCGAGGUUUGGUAACUAACACAAAAGACGGCGAAAAUGUAAGUAAGUGUACAUAAAAAUUGAGUUGGAAAAGUUUAAGUCUUUUGUUGUAGGCCUUAUUUAUUAGUGUGUUCGUAUUAAAUCUGACUCUAGUGAACAAGUAGAAAAAUAUACUAAGGGGUUGAAUAAAUUUUCUUUAAGGAACUAGGCAAAAUUAUUCUGUAACUUAGGGAUAAAGAAUGCUGUAUAGCGUAACAUACUUGGCUCAAACGACUGUUUAUCAAAAACACAGGUUCUUGCUAAAUGUAAUUAUGAUGUAUAAGAGCUGACGCCUGCCCAGUUCCGGAAAGUUAAGGUAAGACGCUUAAUUAAAGGUGUUUUUUUAAGCUCCGGUUAAACGGCGGCUGUAUUCAUAACGGUCCAAAGGUAGCGAAAUUCCUUGUCGGGUAAGUUCCGACCUGCAUGAAAGGCGUAACGAUUUGAGCGCUGUCUUAAAGAAAAAUUCAAUGAAAUAAUAAUGUCUGUGAAGAUACGGACUAUUUACACCAGGACAGAAAGACCCUAUGAAGCUUUACUGUAUUUUAUAAAUGUAAGAACAUAUUGAUAUACAGAGAAUAGAUGGUUAGGAGUCUUAAAACAAUUCUUGAUAUAUGAAAUACCAUUUUUUCAGUAUUAGUAUUUCUCAUGGUUAAAAUAUAAUAAUUUAACUAAAUUUUUUUAGAUUGAUAGUUUGACUGGGGCGGUCCCCUCCUAAAUAGUAACGGAGGCGAACAAAGGUUAUUUGUUGCCGUCUAUUAAGACGUCAAAGAUAGUUGAAAGACUUGUAAUAGCUUAAUUGUUAAAUGAGACGUAUUAUACAUUAACGAAAGUUUGUCUUAUUGACCCGAUAAAACAAUACAAAUGGUAGUGUUAUCGAUAAACGGAUAAAAGUUACUCUAGGGAUAACAGGCUGAUCUCUCCUAAGAGUCCACAUUGACGGGGAGGUUUGGCACCUCGAUGUCGGCUUAUCGCAUCCUGGGGCUGAAGACGGUCCCAAGGGUUGGUUUGUUCACCCAUUAAAGCGGUACGUGAGCUGGGUUCAAAACGUCGCAAGACAGUUUGGUCCAUAUCCGGUGUAAAUUUGAAGAACAUUGCGAUGAUUUUUUUUAGUACGUAAGGAUUAGAAAAACUAUAUCAAUGGUGUACUAGUUAUUUACUUUUUGGAUAGGUUUUAUGUAGGUAAAUUAUUAGGUAGCUAAAUAUGGGAAGGAUAUAAUUGCUGAAAGCAUAUAAGCAAAAAUAUUAAUUUAAAAAUGUUCUUGGAAGGGGUUUUUUUAUUAGGUUUAGACUCUAAAUAAAAUUUACC